RNAcentral lists this ribosomal RNA (486 nucleotides) under Alcaligenaceae bacterium. RNAcentral's name for it is "partial 23S ribosomal RNA". It matches the Rfam family "Bacterial large subunit ribosomal RNA", at positions 2462 to 2925 of the family's 2925-position model. Lineage: Bacteria; Pseudomonadati; Pseudomonadota; Betaproteobacteria; Burkholderiales; Alcaligenaceae. The record is from RNAcentral.
GGUACUCUGGGGAUAACAGGCUGAUACCGCCCAAGAGUUCAUAUCGACGGCGGUGUUUGGCACCUCGAUGUCGGCUCAUCUCAUCCUGGGGCUGUAGCCGGUCCCAAGGGUAUGGCUGUUCGCCAUUUAAAGAGGUACGUGAGCUGGGUUUAAAACGUCGUGAGACAGUUUGGUCCCUAUCUGCCGUGGGCGCUGGAGAUUUGACGGAGCCUGUUCCUAGUACGAGAGGACCGGAAUGGACGUACCGCUGGUGUACCGGUUGUCAUGCCAAUGGCAUUGCCGGGUAGCUAUGUACGGAAGAGAUAACCGCUGAAGGCAUCUAAGCGGGAAACUCGUCUGAAGAUAAGAUCUCCCGGGGGCUUGACCCCCCUGAAGGGCCGUUCGAGACCAGGACGUUGAUAGGUCGGGUGUGGAAGCGCAGUAAUGCGUUGAGCUAACCGAUACUAAUUGCCCGUGCGGCUUGAUCCUAUAACCCUGGCGGUUGUA